UACAGAGGGUGCAAGCGUUAAUCGGAAUUACUGGGCGUAAAGCGCGCGUAGGCGGCUAAUUAAGUCGGGUGUGAAAGCCCCGGGCUCAACCUGGGAAUUGCAUCCGAUACUGAUUGGCUAGAGUAUGAGAGAGGGAGGUAGAAUUCCACGUGUAGCGGUGAAAUGCGUAGAUAUGUGGAGGAAUACCGGUGGCGAAGGCGGCCUCCUGGCUUAAUACUGACGCUGAGGUGCGAAAGCGUGGGGAUCAAACAGGAUUAGAUACCCUGGUAGUCCACGCCGUAAACGAUGUCAACUAGCCGUUGGGCACCUUAGUGUGCUUGGUGGCGCAGCUAACGCGAUAAGUUGACCGCCUGGGGAGUACGGUCGCAAGAUUAAA
RNAcentral lists this ribosomal RNA (376 nucleotides) under uncultured bacterium. RNAcentral's name for it is "bacterial SSU rRNA". It matches the Rfam family "Bacterial small subunit ribosomal RNA", at positions 524 to 898 of the family's 1533-position model. The record is from RNAcentral.